Molecule: ribosomal RNA, 424 nt
Filed under: uncultured bacterium
Lineage: Bacteria
Description: partial 16S ribosomal RNA
Rfam family: Bacterial small subunit ribosomal RNA
Source: RNAcentral
AAUAUUGCACAAUGGGCGAAAGCCUGAUCCAGCCGUCGCGCGUGUGUGAAGAAGGUCUUGGGUUUGUAAUGCUCUGUAAGUGGGGGGGUAGUGUUGGUGAUUGAUACGGUGCAAUUGGGAAGCUACGGGCAGGAUGAGCACGGGCUAACUUCGUGGCAGCAGUCGCGGUGAUACGAAGGGUGCAAGCGUUAAUCGGAAUUACUGGGCUUAAAGCGCGCGUAGGUGGUUCGUUAAGUUGGAUGUGAAAGCCCCGGGCUCAACCUGGGAACUGCAUCCAAAACUGGCGAGCUAGAGUACGGUAGAGGGUGGUGGAAUUUCCUGUGUAGCGGUGAAAUGCGUAGAUAUAGGAAGGAACACCAGUGGCGAAGGCGACCACCUGGACUGAUACUGACACUGAGGUGCGAAAGCGUGGGGAGCAAACAGG